UAAAGUUAGGUUAGGUUGGCCGAACAGCGUUCAGUGGGGCCACUCAUAGGGGAGUAUGUAUCUUAGUUAUUCUGAUGGGGGGUAUGAACCAUCGCGGCCGCAUUUAGGCUCGCUUAAAGUCCUCGAGAAUCGAGGUGUUCUUGACAAAUGCAAGUAGUUCGCCUGACGUCAUUUUUUAGGCAUCUUUAAGGCGCUAAGGCGCCUAGGCAUCUUUUCCUUGCUUGUGCGAGGGCCGGACAGAUGCAGAUGAGAUGUUCCCUGGUUUCCGUGCCCCAGGCUCGUCACAUUUCCAGCAGCUGUCUCGGCUGGUGAUGCCUAGUUUGGUUGCUUGUGAGGAUUCCCACUACUAGUCUGCAGUCCUUUCGUGUGAGGUGCACUGG
This 380-nucleotide long non-coding RNA is filed under the name Drosophila guanche. Lineage: Eukaryota; Metazoa; Arthropoda; Insecta; Diptera; Drosophilidae. The record is from RNAcentral.